GACGAACGCUGGCGGCGUGCCUAAUACAUGCAAGUAGAACGCUGAAGGAGGAGCUUGCUUCUCUGGAUGAGUUGCGAACGGGUGAGUAACGCGUAGGUAACCUGCCUGGUAGCGGGGGAUAACUAUUGGAAACGAUAGCUAAUACCGCAUAAGAGUAGAUGUUGCAUGACAUUUACUUAAAAGGUGCAAUUGCAUCACUACCAGAUGGACCUGCGUUGUAUUAGCUAGUUGGUGGGGUAACGGCUCACCAAGGCGACGAUACAUAGCCGACCUGAGAGGGUGAUCGGCCACACUGGGACUGAGACACGGCCCAGACUCCUACGGGAGGCAGCAGUAGGGAAUCUUCGGCAAUGGACGGAAGUCUGACCGAGCAACGCCGCGUGAGUGAAGAAGGCUUUCGGAUCGUAAAGCUCUGUUGUAAGAGAAGAACGAGUGUGAGAGUGGAAAGUUCACAGG
This 456-nucleotide ribosomal RNA is filed under the name Streptococcus mitis. RNAcentral's name for it is "bacterial SSU rRNA". It matches the Rfam family "Bacterial small subunit ribosomal RNA", at positions 28 to 470 of the family's 1533-position model. Lineage: Bacteria; Bacillati; Bacillota; Bacilli; Lactobacillales; Streptococcaceae. The record is from RNAcentral.